This 596-nucleotide ribosomal RNA is filed under the name Boletus sp. MHM168. RNAcentral's name for it is "eukaryotic LSU rRNA". The stretch from base 272 to 426 matches the Rfam family "5.8S ribosomal RNA". Lineage: Eukaryota; Fungi; Basidiomycota; Agaricomycetes; Boletales; Boletaceae. The record is from RNAcentral.
AGGAUCAUUAUUGAAUCUGAAAGAAAAGGGGAGGAGAAAGGACUGUUGCUGGCUCUCUUUUUUGAGGGAAGCACUAUCGUGCACGUCCUUUGUCUGACCUCCUUCUUCUCUCAUUCUAUUUAAAUACACACCCUGUGCACCUAUUGUAGGCCCUCGAAAGAGGAUCUAUGUUUUUUCACAUCACACGCUCUAUUGUAUGUCUAUAGAAGGUAUUGAGAACGUCCCAGAUCCUUUUUUUCGGAGGAUCUUUGGCGGUCAAAAUAAAUUAUACAACUUUCAGCAACGGAUCUCUUGGCUCUCGCAUCGAUGAAGAACGCAGCGAAUUGCGAUAAGUAAUGUGAAUUGCAGAUUUUCAGUGAAUCAUCGAAUCUUUGAACGCACCUUGCGCUCCUUGGUAUUCCGAGGAGCAUGCCUGUUUGAGUGUCAUUUGAAUUUCUCAACCAUGUCUUGAUUUAUUUCAAGGUAUGGCUUGGAAUUUGGAAGCUUUGCUGGCAGAUGUCAGCUCUUCUUAAAUGCAUUAGCAUUGGGUGGGCAAGUCUUUUUCUUUGACGUGCACGGCCUUGGACGUGAUAAUGAUCGUCGUGACUGGAGCGUUU